GACGAACGCUGGCGGCGUGCUUAACACAUGCAAGUCGAACGGAAAGGCCCUGCUUUUGUGGGGUGCUCGAGUGGCGAACGGGUGAGUAACACGUGAGUAACCUGCCCUUGACUUUGUGAUAACUUCAGGAAACUGGGGCUAAUACCGGAUAGGAGCUCCUGCUGCAUGGUGGGGGUUGGAAAGCUUCGGCGGUUGGGGAUGGACUCGCAGCUUAUCAGCUUGUUGGUGGGGUAGUGGCUUACCAAGGCUUUGACGGGUAGCCGGCCUGAGAGCGGGAACGGCGACAUUGGGACUGAGAGACGGCCCAGACUGCAACGGGCGGCAACAGUGGGGAAUAUUGCACAAUGAGGCGAAGCCUGAUGCAGCAGCGCCGCGUGCGGGAUGACGGCCUUCGGGUUGAAAACCGCUUUCGCCUGUGACAAAGCGUGAGUGACGGUAAUGGGUAAAGAAGCAACGGCUAACUACGUG
This 468-nucleotide ribosomal RNA is filed under the name uncultured bacterium. RNAcentral describes it as "partial 16S ribosomal RNA". It matches the Rfam family "Bacterial small subunit ribosomal RNA", at positions 28 to 507 of the family's 1533-position model. The record is from RNAcentral.